This 76-nucleotide transfer RNA is filed under the name Pseudomonas sp. RNAcentral describes it as "tRNA-Phe". It matches the Rfam family "tRNA". Rfam says of the family: Transfer RNA (tRNA) molecules are approximately 80 nucleotides in length. Their secondary structure includes four short double-helical elements and three loops (D, anti-codon, and T loops). Lineage: Bacteria; Pseudomonadati; Pseudomonadota; Gammaproteobacteria; Pseudomonadales; Pseudomonadaceae. The record is from RNAcentral.
GCCCAGGUAGCUCAGUCGGUAGAGCAGGGGAUUGAAAAUCCCCGUGUCGGCGGUUCGGUUCCGUCCCUCGGCACCA